Molecule: ribosomal RNA, 465 nt
Filed under: uncultured bacterium
Lineage: Bacteria
Description: partial 16S ribosomal RNA
Rfam family: Bacterial small subunit ribosomal RNA
Source: RNAcentral
GACGAACGCUGGCGGCGUGCUUAACACAUGCAAGUCGUACGGUAAGGCCCUUUCGGGGGUACACGAGUGGCGAACGGGUGAGUAACACGUGAGUAACCUGCCCACAACUUUGGGAUAACGCUAGGAAACUGGUGCUAAUACUGGAUAUGUGCUCCUGCUGCAUGGUGGGGGUUGGAAAGCUCCGGCGGUUGUGGAUGGACUCGCGGCCUAUCAGCUUGUUGGUGGGGUAGUGGCCUACCAAGGCGGCGUCGGGUAGCCGGCCUGAGAGGGUGACCGGCCACAUUGGGACUGAGAUACGGCCCAGACUCCUACGGGAGGCAGCAGUGGGGAAUAUUGCACAAUGGGCGCAAGUCUGAUGCAGCAACGCCGCGUGCGGGAUGACGGCCUUCGGGUUGUAAACCGCUUUCAGCAGGGACGAAGCUUUUUGUGACGGUACCUGCAGAAGAAGCACCGGCUAACUACGUG